AAUCAAGUGGAGGACAAGUCUGGUGCCAGCACCCGCGGUAAUUCCAGCUCCACUAGCGUAUAUUAAAGUUGCUGCAGUUAAAAAGCUCGUAGUUGAACCUCUGUCUGGGGCUAGUUUUGGCUUUGGUCAGGCUAGUUCUAGGCAUCCGCCUACAAGACUUAGAGGGCAUUCAGUUGUUCACUAGGAGGAGUAGGCAUUUUACUUUGAAAAAAUUAGAGUGUUUAAGGCAGGCAAUCGCCCGCAUAUAUUAGCAUGGAAUAAUAGAAUAGGACACUUUUCCAUUUCGUUGGUUAUUGGAAUCGUGUAAUGAUUAAUAGGGACAGUUGUGGGCAUUUGUAUUUAAUUGUCAGAGGUGAAAUUCUUGGAUUUAUUAAAGACAAACUAACGCGAAAGCAUUUGCCAAGGAUGUUUUCAUUAAUCAAGAACGAAAGUUAGGGGAUCAAAGACGAUCAGAUACCGUCCUAGUCUUAACUAUAAACUAUUCCGACUCAAUGUUUGACUGGCUUAUAUAACCAGUUGAGCGUUGUAUGAGAAAUCAAAGUCUUUAGGUUCUGGGGGGAGUAUGGUUGCAAAGCUGAAACUUAAAGGAAUUGACGGAAGAGCACAACCAGGAGUGGAUUCUGCGGCUUAAUUUGACUCAACACGGGGAAACUUACCAGGUUAAAACAAUAGUGGGAUUGACAGUUUGAGAGCGCCUUCUUGAUUGGUUGGGUGGUGGUGCAUGGCCGUUCUUAGUUGGUGGAGUGAUUUGUCUGCUUAAUUGCGUUAACGAACGAGACCUUAACCUGCUUACUAGACUGGCGAUCAUCAAUCGUUAGCUCUUCUUAGAGGGACUUUGGUUGUUUUAACUCCAAGGAAGUUUGAGGCAAUAACAGGUCUGUGAUGCCCUUAGAUAUCCUGGGCCGCACGCGUCAUACAAUGACUAGUUCAGAAAGUUUUCUCCUGACCCGAAAGGGGAUGGGUAAUCUUGAUAAUACUAGUCGUGUUAGGGAUCGAUCUUUGCAAUUAUAGAUCUUGAACGAGGAAUUCCUAGUAAGUGCGGUUCAUCAGACCGUACUGAUUACGUCCCUGCUCUUUGUACACACCGCCCGUCGCUUCUACCGAGUGGGUGGUCCGGUGAGAUAAUUGAACUUCGCAGGUAACUGAGAGGAAAGAUUAUCAAACCUAUCCACCU
Molecule: ribosomal RNA, 1174 nt
Filed under: metagenome
Description: SSU rRNA
Rfam family: Eukaryotic small subunit ribosomal RNA
Source: RNAcentral